RNAcentral lists this small nuclear RNA (18 nucleotides) under Arabidopsis thaliana (thale cress). Its description in RNAcentral is "snRNA_05999". Lineage: Eukaryota; Viridiplantae; Streptophyta; Magnoliopsida; Brassicales; Brassicaceae. The record is from RNAcentral.
ACGGGCCGGCUCAACCCG